Molecule: non-coding RNA, 31 nt
Filed under: Homo sapiens (human)
Lineage: Eukaryota; Metazoa; Chordata; Mammalia; Primates; Hominidae
Source: RNAcentral
UGACAAUGGAGUCUCUAGAGACAAAAGUGGU